AACGAACGCUGGCGGCAUGCCUAACACAUGCAAGUCGAACGAGACCUUCGGGUCUAUUGGCGCACGGGUGCGUCACGCGUGGGAACCUUCCCUUAGGUUCGGAAUACCUCCCCGAAAGGGGUGCUAAUACCGGAUAAUGUCUUCGGACCAAAGAUUUAUCGCGUUUGGAUGGGCCCGCGUUGGAUUAGCUAGUUGGUAGGGUAAAAGCCUACCAAGGGGACGAUCCAUAGCUGGUCUGAGAGGAUGGUCAGCCACACUGGGAGUGAGACACGGCCCAGACUCCUACGCAAGGCAGCAGUGGGGAAUAUUGGAAAAUGGGCGAAAGCAUGAUCCAGCAAUGACGGGUGAGUGAUGAAGGCCUGAGGGUUGUAAAGCUCUUUUACCCGGGAUGAUAAUGACAGUACCGGGAGAAUAAGCUCCGGCUAACUCCGUG
Molecule: ribosomal RNA, 433 nt
Filed under: uncultured bacterium
Lineage: Bacteria
Description: partial 16S ribosomal RNA
Rfam family: Bacterial small subunit ribosomal RNA
Source: RNAcentral